Molecule: ribosomal RNA, 440 nt
Filed under: uncultured bacterium
Lineage: Bacteria
Description: partial 16S ribosomal RNA
Rfam family: Bacterial small subunit ribosomal RNA
Source: RNAcentral
CCUACGGGUGGCAGCAGUAGGGAAUAUUGCUCAAUGGGGGAAACCCUGAUGCAGCAACGCCGCGUGGGGGAUGAAGGUUUUCGGAUUGUAAAGCUCUUUUGUCAGAGAAGAUAAUGACGGUAUCUAACGAAUAAGCACCGGCUAACUCCGUGCCAGCAGCCGCGGUAAUACGGAGGGUGCAAGCGUUAUUCGGAAUCACUGGGCGUAAAGAGCGCGUAGGCGGGAGGGCAAGUCAGAAGUGAAAUCCGAUGGCUUAACCCUCGAACUGCAUUUGAAACUGUUAUUCUGGAGUAUGGGAGAGGUAAGUGGAAUUCUUGGUGUAGGGGUAAAAUCCGUAGAGAUUAGGAGGAAUACUCAUUGCGAAGGCGACCUGCUAGAACGUAACUGACGCUGAUGCGCGAAAGCGUGGGGAGCAAACAGGAUUAGAUACCCUUGUAGUC